RNAcentral lists this transfer RNA (74 nucleotides) under Bdellovibrionales bacterium. RNAcentral's name for it is "tRNA-Cys". It matches the Rfam family "tRNA". Rfam says of the family: Transfer RNA (tRNA) molecules are approximately 80 nucleotides in length. Their secondary structure includes four short double-helical elements and three loops (D, anti-codon, and T loops). The record is from RNAcentral. Lineage: Bacteria; Pseudomonadati; Bdellovibrionota; Bdellovibrionia; Bdellovibrionales.
GGUGGUAUGGCGGAGAGGCUACGCACUGGACUGCAAAUCCAUGUACAUCGGUUCGAAUCCGGUUACCACCUCCA